This 795-nucleotide long non-coding RNA is filed under the name Hordeum vulgare. RNAcentral describes it as "long non-coding RNA (HVUL_LNC000483)". The record is from RNAcentral. Lineage: Eukaryota; Viridiplantae; Streptophyta; Magnoliopsida; Poales; Poaceae.
CCAAGGCCUGCUGCUGCGAUGUGUGAGUAGAGGAGAUAACUUCUAUUGUUUUUCAUCCGAGAUCGUGGUCCUUCCCUCCCAACGGUGCAAGUCACGCCUUACGCGGCCGCCGCCAGAGAACAAAUGCGACUCAAGCGAGGCCGCAAGCGGAUCCAACGGAUUGCGGCAGCUACCAAUCUAUGAUGUCACGCAGAAACAAGUCUUCAAGACGUUCAGAUGGCCUGCCGGGAAGAAGAUCAUUGGUGAGGUCGCUGGCUUGCUGCUCCUGAUCUAGUGCUCCGGCUUUGCAGUUUCUUCUCACUUCUGAUCUGAUCGCUUCAGGACUCCUUCUGUUUUUCUGCCACAAAGCUCCUUCAUCCGAUGAUAUGUGUAUCAGGUAGUUUAUCCACCGGUUCACCAAUCAGCCCUAUCUGCUUCAACGGCUGGAUCUCCAAUGUAUACUAUUAAUCAUUAAAUCACUACCAUUUUCACUACAUGCACGUUGGCAAUUAUAUUAUUUUAGCUCAACAGAUUUGUAAUUGUUGUCUUUCAGCACUACCUGAUAUUAUAUCAUCUGGAAAGUAUCGAUUUGGUAAUAAGCAAGAAAAAGGAAAAUAGACUUGUAGAUGAGUUAAUAUAAUUACAGAGAGGAACUAUGGAUAAUUUUUUUCAAGAGUGAUACAGGGACUUCGAAGAGUUGGCGGUAAUUCCCAGUGGACGAACCAACUAAUGAUGUUAAGAAUCAAGUAAUUGUUUAUGAUACUACUUGUUCUUUGAAUCAACAUUAAGAUGUUUUGUAGAAAUUAUUUUAGUGCA